Molecule: non-coding RNA, 2126 nt
Organism: Nicotiana tabacum (common tobacco)
Lineage: Eukaryota; Viridiplantae; Streptophyta; Magnoliopsida; Solanales; Solanaceae
Source: RefSeq, a predicted model, not a curated record
UCCUAAAUCCUUUUUCUGAGGAAAACAAUAUCACUGUCUCUUUGUUCAAACUUCAAAACCCUUCUACUCUCCUUCCCUUAACGUGACGAUGACCGACCGUGACAGAACUCGAUACCAUGACCGUGAAAUUGACCGGGAGAGAGAGCGAGAGAGGGACAAGGAUGGAGACAGAGAUCGGAAACGUGACCGGGAUGACCGUGACCGGAGAGACCGUGAACGUUCUUACACCCCUGACCAUAUCAGAACCAGUCGACACACUCGCUCCCGAACUCGUUCCCCUUCCACUGACCGUCACCGCCACCGCCACCGUUCUACUUCCCGCUCCCGCUCUCCCACUGACCGCCGCAACCGCCACCGUCACCACCGUCCCUCAGCGGAAAGUCCUCCUAGAAAGAGACGAAAAGAUGAUGGCGAUCGAGAUAAGGAUAGGGAUAGAGAUACGCGGAGAGAGGUUGAGGAUUUUGUUGACGGGAUAGCGAAAGAACAGAAGAAGCAGAAGAAGAAGGAGGAGGAGGAGAGUCGUGAUGAAGAGAUGAUGGAUGAUGAAGAGAUUGAGAUGAUGAAGAAAUUGGGGAUACCGGUAGGGUUUGAUUCGACAAAGGGGAAGGCAGUGGCAGGGAAUGAUGUGGGUGCUGUAAGGAAAGUCACUAAACGGCAGCCUCGACAGUACAUGAAUAGGCGUGGUGGCUUCAAUAGGCCCUUGCCUGCUGAGUGCAACCGCUAAUUUUCCCAGGUUGAGAUUGAGAUAUGUAAAUUCAUCGAUAGUCAAGAAUCUCAAUCGUGUUUAAGAUUUGAACUAAAUUUCACAAUGGUGGAUGCUUGUCAGUCAUUCAUAUUUUCCUAUUAUUCAAUGGGUUAUUGCAAAAUAUUCCAGAAUCCAUGGUGUAGCAUUUACUGUUUAGUGAUGGACGCAUAGAAGUCCGAGGUAAGUAGAAAAAUUGUAUAAUCUUCACCUAGUGGAGAAAAAUGUAAACCAAUAAGAAAGAGAUACAGAAAAAAGAAAUUUUAGUCUUAUGUAGAGCUUUGGGUGUCAGGUUGAUACAGCACUCUUAUAUUUUCUUGAGCUUUGGCAUUCCGUGAUGCUUAGUGCUACUAUGGCCUUCUUAACAUGGCCCGAAAUUGGCAAAGUUUGGUUGGGGGCAGGGGAGGAGUAUCUUUAAUGUGCCAGUGGCAAGCUAUACCUUAGAGACCAUCCCGCUGCAGUUGCUGGAAAAGCACUGAAUAAGUUUGAUGGAAAUGCACUUUCUGCCAGGCUUCUUAUGUGAGUGUGCCUCUUAGUCCAAGUAAUGGAGACAAUAUAUCCUUUCAAUUGUAUGUUUAGGUCAUAAUGUGCUAUUUUUCUCAAAACUUCAUGGUAAUAGGACUUCUGCGGUGGAGAAUAGGUUCACAGUUUGCUGCAGCCUGCAGUCAAGCAGUAACAGAUGCGACCAUUACUUCAGGGUCCUGCCAAAUGGUUUGCUGGUUAAUGGUGCCCCCUCCCUCCCUUUAAAGCAGUCAUCCUUUAACACUGUCUGUUAUCUCAUUGAGAUUACUGAUGCAAACAUGCAUUUGGGCUAUUGCUUCUUGUCUUAGGUACAGAUUUCUCCCUAAUGAUAGGCAUUUCUUCAUAAAUCAACUUACAUUUGGAUUUGACUAUAGUGUUGCUCACUAUGCACUUUGGUGUGUGCACUAAAGUCUAGGAUUGAUCUCUUUACCUUGUAUUGAUAUUGUAAUCUUGGCCAUUGGUAUGAACUCUGUCAUUUACUUUUUUAAUGUUGUAGAAUCUGACCCAGCUUUGGGGCAUAAGCUAUUUAACUCAGGUUGGAGUGAUCUGAAGGAUAUCUGAUGGUUCCUUACAGUAUGAAAAUGGUUAUAACGGACAAUGAGUUUUCUCAGAGUUUUCUUACAGGAUUGAUGCUUUUUAGUCAUUGAGAAGGAAAGAAGAUAACGGAAGUGGGAAAAUGGUUCCUCUUUUUCUGGUAGUUCUAUUUUUUUCCAAAAUAUUUUGGGCGUGGGGCUAGUGGGGUCAUUUGAUUUUCUAUGUAUGCCAUAAUGUAGUUUUUAGAAUCAAGGAUGAUAUAACUUGAAUAAGUUGUGUAGAUGGAUAGCUUGGAGCUAAGUUGAGUUACCUCUUGUUUUAUUUUUAA